This 274-nucleotide ribosomal RNA is filed under the name uncultured bacterium. RNAcentral's name for it is "partial 16S ribosomal RNA". It matches the Rfam family "Bacterial small subunit ribosomal RNA", at positions 1225 to 1500 of the family's 1533-position model. The record is from RNAcentral.
CUACAAUGGCGUAACAAAGGGAAGCGAACCCGUGAGGGGGAGCAAAUCCCAAAAAUAACGUCCCAGUUCGGACUGUAGUCUGCAACCCGACUACACGAAGCUGGAAUCGCUAGUAAUCGCGAAUCAGAAUGUCGCGGUGAAUACGUUCCCGGGUCUUGUACACACCGCCCGUCACACCAUGGGAGUCGGGAAUGCCCGAAGUCAGUGACCCAACCUUUGGAGGGAGCUGCCGAAGGCAGGUCUGAUAACUGGGGUGAAGUCGUAACAAGGUACC